UGUCGCAAAAGUAAUUGCAGUUUUUGCUUUUGAAAGUAAUGGCAAAAACUGCAAUUACUUU
This is a microRNA precursor of Rhinopithecus bieti (black snub-nosed monkey), 61 nucleotides long. The record is from Ensembl. NCBI's taxonomy places the organism in Eukaryota, Metazoa, Chordata, Mammalia, Primates, Cercopithecidae.